CAGCAGGCGCGAAAACUUUACAAUGCUGGCAACAGCGAUAAGGGGACCUCGAGUGCCAGGAUACAAUCUUGGCUGUCGCGAUGCCUAAAAAGCAUUGCAUAGCAAGGGCCGGGCAAGACCGGUGCCAGCCGCCGCGGUAACACCGGCGGCUCGAGUGGUAACCGCUAUUAUUGGGUCUAAAGGGUCUGUAGCCGGCCGGAUAAGUCUUUUGGGAAAUCCAGCUGCUCAACAGUUGGGCUUUCAGAAGAUACUGUUCGGCUCGAGACCGGGAGAGGUGAGAGGUACUUCAGGGGUAGGGGUGAAAUCUUGUAAUCCUUGAAGGACCACCAGUGGCGAAGGCGUCUCACCAGAACGGAUCUGACGGCAAGGGACGAAAGCUAGGGGCACGAACCGGAUUAGAUACCCGGGUAGUCCUAGCCGUAAACGAUACUCGCUAGGUGUCAGCCACGGUGCGACCGUGGUUGGUGCCGUAGGGAAGCCGUGAAGCGAGCCACCUGGGAAGUACGGCCGCAAGGCUGAAACUUAAAGGAAUUGGCGGGGGAGCAC
Molecule: ribosomal RNA, 546 nt
Filed under: uncultured archaeon
Lineage: Archaea
Description: bacterial SSU rRNA
Rfam family: Archaeal small subunit ribosomal RNA
Source: RNAcentral